UACGUAGGGCGCAAGCGUUGUCCGGAAUUAUUGGGCGUAAAGAGCUCGUAGGCGGCUUGUCACGUCGGGUGUGAAAGCCCGGGGCUUAACCCCGGGUCUGCAUUCGAUACGGGCUAGCUAGAGUGUGGUAGGGGAGAUCGGAAUUCCUGGUGUAGCGGUGAAAUGCGUAGAUAUCGUAAGGAAGACCAGUGGCGAAGGCGGGUCUCUGGACAUUUCCUGACGCUGAGGCACGAAAGCCAGGGGAGCAAACGGG
RNAcentral lists this ribosomal RNA (253 nucleotides) under uncultured prokaryote. RNAcentral describes it as "partial 16S ribosomal RNA". It matches the Rfam family "Bacterial small subunit ribosomal RNA", at positions 524 to 776 of the family's 1533-position model. The record is from RNAcentral.